RNAcentral lists this ribosomal RNA (465 nucleotides) under uncultured bacterium. Its description in RNAcentral is "partial 16S ribosomal RNA". It matches the Rfam family "Bacterial small subunit ribosomal RNA", at positions 28 to 507 of the family's 1533-position model. The record is from RNAcentral.
GACGAACGCUGGCGGCGUGCUUAACACAUGCAAGUCGAACGGAAAGGCCCUGCUUGCGUGGUGCGCUCGUGGCGCACACGGGUGUAUAACGUGUGUGUUCCCUGCUCUACAUCUGGGGAUGCCUGGGGAACUCGGUGUCAUAUCCGGUAUAGGCCCUCCUGCUGCAGGUGGUUGGUUGGAUUUUUCGGUCUAGGGUGGGAUUACGGCCGAUUAGCUUGUUUGUGGGGGGAGGGGCUACCAAGGCGGCGAUGGGUGGCCGGCCUGGGAGGGUGGACGGCCGAAUUGGGACUGGGAUACGGCCCAGACUCCUACGGGGGGCAGCAGUGGGGAAUAUUGCACAAUGGGGGCAAGCCUGAUGCAGCGACGCCGCGUGGGGGAUGACGGCCUUCGGGUUGUAAACUCCUUUCGCUAGGGACGAAGCUGUUUGUGACGGUACCUAGAUAAGAAGCACCGGCUAACUACGUG